RNAcentral lists this non-coding RNA (102 nucleotides) under Vibrio sinaloensis. Its description in RNAcentral is "Glycine sequence". It matches the Rfam family "Glycine riboswitch aptamer". From Rfam's summary of the family: This family represents the bacterial glycine riboswitch. Glycine riboswitches usually consist of two metabolite-binding aptamers domains with similar structures in tandem. RNAcentral also lists the same sequence under 1 other name. The record is from RNAcentral. Lineage: Bacteria; Pseudomonadati; Pseudomonadota; Gammaproteobacteria; Vibrionales; Vibrionaceae.
GGAGGAACCUCUGGAGAGAACCGUUAAAUCGGUCGCCGAAGGAGCAAGCUAAAACGCGUUCGUUUUAGUGAAACUCUCAGGCAAAAGGACAGAGGAGUGGAA